Mauremys reevesii (Reeves's turtle) is the source of this 1909-nucleotide long non-coding RNA. RefSeq lists it as uncharacterized. The record is from RefSeq and is a predicted model, not a curated record. NCBI's taxonomy places the organism in Eukaryota, Metazoa, Chordata, Testudines, Geoemydidae. The transcript has 5 exons.
AGAACAAUGGCAGCCAUUGUGUACACAAAGUUCUAGCAGCCAGACCCAUUUUUACCUCCAUUUGAAUUGAAGUUGCUCAUAAGGCAGAGUAAUAGAAAAGGUAAUAAAAAUUGAUCCAAGUCAACAGAGUUGUCAAGUGAACCAAUGAGAAUUUUUGACCAGCCAUUACAGGGCUACCAAUUCAGAUGAAGACUCUUCUCCUUGAUUUGUGUCCUAUGUGGAUUAGAUUUAAACAUGCUUUGAUUUAAACAACUUUGACCUUUACUACUGAUUUUUCCCAUGCAUGAGGGCCAGACUAGGAGAAAGCCUGACGGUGUUUAGGAGGGAAGCUGAAUGGUGGACAGUAGAGGCUGGGAAUACCGGCAGAGCAAAGGCAGGGAUCAACCUCACAAUAGGUUACUACCUCAUCUAGGGCUGGACUAAGUUAUGAAGCAUUUUAAAGCUGAAGCAAGAGCUUGUAUCUGAUGCAGGUGAAAGGAGAGCCGAUGUAGGAAGAGUGGGAUGGAUUACCACAGCUCCUCCAGGAUGUAAAAAAUAGUGGAUGCAUUCAGACAGGAUUUCUGUCCAAGGGUGGGGAGGAGCCUACAAUCUUUGCGGAAAGGUUGGAAGAACGUGACCUACUAGAGCCCCACAGUAUUUAUAGGUGACCUAUGGAGGCUGUUUGAUUAUUGAUUACAUGAUCAUUGCCCCAAAGAGACAGAAUAGCAGGGUCUGGACAUAAGUCAAACUUGCUGAGGUGAUCACAGUUGAUACACAGAACACUACAACCUGCCACUUCAUCUGAGCGUGGGAGAAUUGGAUGAUUCCAUCCCAAGAGAAAGGCGACAGUCUGAGGGCUGAGACCUAGAGGGCUUGCACAUGGAAAACACCAGGAGGAGUCAGAGGUACAGUCUGCCUGGGAAUUAACAGCAUGUUCAAUAAAUCUGAAGAUGAAUGGAAGGAAAAGGGAUUUGGUGAUUAUUUGAAAGAAAGGAUCAAGAGUGGGUUGUUUUAAACUAGAGAAGACCAAAGCAUGUCUGUACUGGGAGGGAAAGGAACCAGGUGAGAGCGAGAGGCUGACAAGAAGAAAGAGAGGCGGUUAGAGCUCAGCAGGAGAAAGAGAAAUUAGCAAACAAGAAGGAUGGGUCACUUGGUCUCUUCUAUUCAGUUUGUCUUUUCUGUCGUCUCCCAACAAAGGCUGAAAUGUUCCAGGGCUGCUCAGAGAUCCUGACAGAAAGACUAGUAUGAAACUGUUUGUGUCACUCUGGUGUUAUAGAGGAAGGAUAGUGUGCUGCAGCAGUACAGGCACAAUCCUUCUAUGUGAGAGUUUACCAAGAAGUGGUUUCUGUACUCAUAUGGAGCAAGAAACUUUCCCACACUCCUGAACUUAAUUUAACUCUGAGUAAUGAAAUUUAAUCUUCGUAUACCCAAACACACAUCUUAAACAUUCAUAUCCAUCCCAAAAGCAACAAAGUAACACACACAUCAUGUGAAACUAUUACAGAAAAAAUUUUCUCUGAAGACCAGAGUUUUAAACACUAAAACCAUCGUCAGUGACAAGGAGCUUAGUAUUCUGCACUGGACAUUUUCCAACAUAAGACCUAUAAUUUGGUACAACUUAAAUUAGCCAUCCUGGUCCUAUGAAGUCAGACGACAGAAAUAUCAAGGAUGUUACAGUUCCAGGAGCAUAAAGAGGGGCCCUGUUUCUAGAGUUCAAAGCUUUCCCAUUUAGUGGUGUCUCCUUCCCUGACCCAUUCUACCACCGACUACAGUUUGUAUAGAGCACAAUCCCUUAAACCCCAAUCAAGGUAUUUGCUCUGAUUCAAGUGAAAUUGCAGAGGCACGAAACAGAGAAACCAGGAAUGAGGAGGAGUGAGGGAAGCAACAUGGGGGCACUUUCUUACCAAAUACCAGGGCACUCAUUUAUACA